AUACGUAGGUGGCAAGCGUUGUCCGGAAUUACUGGGUGUAAAGGGAGCGUAGGCGGGGAUGCAAGUCAAAUGUUAAAACUAUCGGCUCAACUGGUAAGUGCGUUUGAAACUGCAUUUCUUGAGUGAAGUAGAGGCAGGCGGAAUUCCUUGUGUAGCGGGGAAAUGGGUAGAUAUUAGGAGGAACGCCAGUGGCGAAGGCGGCCUGCUGGGCUUUUACUGACGCUGAGGGUCGAAAGUGUGGGGAGCAAACAGGAUUAGAUGCCCUGGUAGUCCACACUGUAAACGAUGAUUACUAGGUGUGGGGGGACUGACCCCUUCCGUGCCGGAGUUAACACAAUAAGUAAUCCACCUGGGGAGUACGGCCGCAAGGUUGAAACUCAAAGGAAUUGACGGGG
RNAcentral lists this ribosomal RNA (395 nucleotides) under uncultured bacterium. Its description in RNAcentral is "partial 16S ribosomal RNA". It matches the Rfam family "Bacterial small subunit ribosomal RNA", at positions 523 to 918 of the family's 1533-position model. The record is from RNAcentral.